ACAUGCAAGUCGAGCGCGGGAAGCGAACGGAACUCUUGAAGGGGGGGGCGUGGAACGAGCGGCGGACGGGUGAGUAAUACGAAAAAGAAACCUGCCUGUAAGACUGGGAUAACUCGCGGAAACGCGAGCUAAUACCGGAUAACACUUUCUAUCACCUGAUGGAAAGUUGAAAGGCGGCUUUUGCUGUCACUUACAGAUGGGCCUGCGGCGCAUUAGCUAGUUGGUGAGGUAACGGCUCACCAAGGCGACGAUGCGUAGCCGACCUGAGAGGGUGAUCGGCCACACUGGGACUGAGACACGGCCCAGACUCCUACGGGAGGCAGCAGUAGGGAAUCUUCCGCAAUGGACGAAAGUCUGACGGAGCAACGCCGCGUGAGUGAUGAAGGUUUUCGGAUCGUAAAACUCUGUUGUCAGGGAAGAACAAGUACGAUAGUAACUGAUCGUACCUUGACGGUACCUGACCAGAAAGCCACGGCUAACUACGUGCCAGCAGCCGCGGUAAUACGUAGGUGGCAAGCGUUGUCCGGAAUUAUUGGGCGUAAAGCGCUCGCAGGCGGUUCUUUAAGUCUGAUGUGAAAUCUUGCGGCUCAACCGCAAACGUGCAUUGGAAACUGGAGGACUUGAGUGCAGAAGAGGAGAGUGGAAUUCCACGUGUAGCGGUGAAAUGCGUAGAGAUGUGGAGGGAACACCAGUGGCGAAGGCGACUCUCUGGUCCUGUAACUGA
Molecule: ribosomal RNA, 724 nt
Filed under: uncultured Oceanobacillus sp.
Lineage: Bacteria; Bacillati; Bacillota; Bacilli; Caryophanales; Bacillaceae
Description: bacterial SSU rRNA
Rfam family: Bacterial small subunit ribosomal RNA
Source: RNAcentral